AUGAAACGCUUUAAUAAAUCUGUGAAAGUCCUAACCUGCAGCGUUCAAGGCGUCGAUCUCGGAACGCGCGAGCCGGAUAUACACAUCCUGCACGACCACCGGGUACUGCCUCAUGUCAAGCAGAUCCACGCCCCAAAUGACGCACCCGUGGCUGAUUCCCCCGCUAAUGUUGGCGGCGGCGUACGCCCUGCAGCUGCAGUUACCCAGGCACAGCUGCCUGCACUCGGCCAGGGUCAUGUCGGGGCGCACCGUCGCUUCCGUCGCCUCCGGCAGCUUCAUCCGGUUCACCGGCCAGAAGCCGUCUCCAGACCCACAGCUCAGGUUGGCGCUCCUGGUGCAGCCACCGGACCAGCCCCUCUGCUCCCACUGCUCCGGCGACCGGGGCUUGAACCCCGGCAGGCAGCUACACUUGGGGGGCUGGCCGACCUCGCACACGCCGAAACCGAAUGCCCCGCACUUGUAGUAGCUAUCACACGGGUCGCUCGGGUGGUACCAGUAGCUGCUCCACGCGCCGUUGCCCCACACGUAGCUCUGCAGCUGCCCCGUCGCGCCGUCCAGGAUCAGCCGCGACAGAGCCGACGGGUCGCUGACGUAGUAGGCAUAGUAUGUCUCGUCGGCGUUGGACACGACCAUGAACGUGUAGCCCUCGGCGUUGAGGUUCUGCACGCCGGUGAGCACCACGCCGUUCCACGGCCCGCUCGCGUAGAUCCUCUCCGGGCCGCGGAAAAGGAAGAACUCGGGCAGUCCGCCCAUGACCAGCUUGAACGUGUAGGCCCCCGGCGAGGGGUCGGUCGGGCUUCUACACGACGUGAUGUUUCUGGCGAUGCCCUUCUUGAGGUCCACCCCGAGCUUCAUGCCGGGCAGCAUCGUGUCCGUCGGGUAGUCGAAGCUCUGCCACGCCACGCUCUGGCUCGACCCACUCCCGUCAGAGCUCAGGACGAAGUUGCCGUCGUCGAGAAGCUGAGCGGUGACCUUGGUGGUUAUAUUUCUGGUGGGCGCCGCGGAGGACCAGACUGUGGUGUUCCGGCCGUCGACGAUGACCAGGCGGCCGUCGGGGGAGAGCUUGAGGACGCCGGGGGAGCUGACGACCGGGCUCCGGCGGUUGGCGACCCACACGACGGUCUGUACAGGGAUGCCCGCGUACCAAAUGCCGAGGUAGGCUCUGGCAUCGGAGCUUCCGGGCGGGUUGUAGAAGCCGAGCCUGAAGAUUCCACCGGCUGA
Molecule: ribosomal RNA, 1221 nt
Filed under: Triticum aestivum (bread wheat)
Lineage: Eukaryota; Viridiplantae; Streptophyta; Magnoliopsida; Poales; Poaceae
Description: partial small subunit ribosomal RNA
Source: RNAcentral